GGCAAGUGAUGUCUUUUCUCACAAUGGUCUGCAGAUGCCACUGUGGGCAAUGCCGAUAACGCCAAAGGCUCAGCUGAUGCCAAGAG
This is a small nucleolar RNA of Dipodomys ordii (Ord's kangaroo rat), 86 nucleotides long. The record is from Ensembl. NCBI's taxonomy places the organism in Eukaryota, Metazoa, Chordata, Mammalia, Rodentia, Heteromyidae.